RNAcentral lists this ribosomal RNA (177 nucleotides) under uncultured bacterium. Its description in RNAcentral is "partial 16S ribosomal RNA". It matches the Rfam family "Bacterial small subunit ribosomal RNA", at positions 307 to 507 of the family's 1533-position model. The record is from RNAcentral.
GAGGCAGCAGUGGGGAAUAUUGGACCCUACGGGAGGCAGCAGUGGGGAAUAUUGGACAAUGGGCGAAAGCCUGAUCCAGCAAUGCCGCGUGAGUGAUGAAGGCCUUAGGGUUGUAAAGCUCUUUUACCCGGGAUGAUAAUGACAGUACUGGGAGAAUAAGCCCCGGCUAACUCCGUG